UACGUAGGUGGCAAGCGUUGUCCGGAAUUACUGGGCGUAAAGCGCGUGUAGGCGGCCGGCCAAGUCUGCUGUGAAAUCGCCCGGCUCAACUGGGCGGGGGCGGUGGAAACUGGUCACCUGGAGGACGGUAGAGGCGAGUGGAAUUCCCGGUGUAGUGGUGAAAUUCGUAGAUAUCGGGAGGAACACCAGUGGCGAAGGCGGCGAUCUGGGAAGAUACUGACGCUGAGGUGCGAAAGCGUGGGGAGCAAACAGG
Molecule: ribosomal RNA, 253 nt
Filed under: uncultured bacterium
Lineage: Bacteria
Description: partial 16S ribosomal RNA
Rfam family: Bacterial small subunit ribosomal RNA
Source: RNAcentral